AGGAAAGCUGCCAGUCUGCCUGUGGA
RNAcentral lists this unclassified non-coding RNA (26 nucleotides) under Mus musculus (house mouse). RNAcentral's name for it is "oocyte_clustered_small_RNA12739". Lineage: Eukaryota; Metazoa; Chordata; Mammalia; Rodentia; Muridae. The record is from RNAcentral.